This 200-nucleotide ribosomal RNA is filed under the name Cladophialophora sp. RNAcentral's name for it is "partial large subunit ribosomal RNA". It matches the Rfam family "Eukaryotic large subunit ribosomal RNA", at positions 82 to 279 of the family's 3401-position model. Lineage: Eukaryota; Fungi; Ascomycota; Eurotiomycetes; Chaetothyriales; Herpotrichiellaceae. The record is from RNAcentral.
AGUAACGGCGAGUGAAGCGGUAAUAGCUCAAAUUUGAAAUUUGGCCUCUCGGGGUCCGAGUUGUAAUUUGUAGAGGAUGUUUUGGGUACCGCCCCGGUCUAAAUUUCUUGGAACAGAAUGUCAAAGAGGGUGAGAAUCCCGUCUUGGGACCGGGGGUAGGGCCUGUGUAAAACCCCUUCGACGAGUCGAGUUGUUUGGGA